Molecule: small RNA, 443 nt
Filed under: Pongo abelii (Sumatran orangutan)
Lineage: Eukaryota; Metazoa; Chordata; Mammalia; Primates; Hominidae
Description: processed transcript
Source: RNAcentral
AGUGCGUCUGUGGAGGCGGUCCUGUGACGGAAAUGUGAAACUGGUCUCAAUCGGUUGACCACCGUAAGGAAAUGGGAUUUACACUGUGGACAGAGAUGUGUCCUUUUCACUUCAUUUGAACCAAUAUGCCCGUGCCCCCGUGGAGGCUGAGUUGGAAAGUGACACGAAGCUGCCCCCACAAGAGAGCAGGAAAACUUUAUUCUCAAGAGAUUUCUCAUUCCGCAGAAAUAAGGAUCUGGCAUGUCAACACAAACAUAGGAAGUUGAUGCAGUCAAAGGGAAAUAACUGCUGCCCUGACUCUGCUGAGAGCCUCACAAGUCCCUGUGCACGCCAGCUUAUUUGCCAAUCAGGCCAUGACCUUUCCCUACAGCAGGAUGUUUGCAAGAUUAACUCUCAACUGAGGAAUUUGCUUAUUUGACUGCUCUAAUACUGCUUGGUUGAGA